Molecule: ribosomal RNA, 253 nt
Filed under: uncultured bacterium
Lineage: Bacteria
Description: partial 16S ribosomal RNA
Rfam family: Bacterial small subunit ribosomal RNA
Source: RNAcentral
UACGGAGGGUGCAAGCGUGAUCCGGGAUUACUGGGUUUAAAGGGUGCGUAGGCGGCUGUGUAAGUCAGAGGUGAAAUCCUGCAGCUUAACUGUAGAAUUGCCUUUGAUACUGCGUAGCUUGAAACAAGUUGAGGUUAGCGGAAUGUGACAUGAAGCGGUGAAAUGCAUAGAUAUGUCAUAGUACACCAAUUGCGAAGGCAGCUGACUGGGCUUGAUUUGACGCUGAGGCACGAAAGCGUGGGGAGCGAGCAGG